GCGAUUUCUCCGGAGGCAGAGAGUUGAAGAAGUAGCCUAACUAACUGGACAUAAUUUGAAGCCCCAGUGACAUAUUUACCAGGAUGAAUGAUGUCCUAUGUACAUGUUAAAUUGUACACUGAUAGUCCAUCACUCUUCGCAACUGUCAGUCGGGUUCUGGCAUGAUAAGAGCAUCAGAGGCGACACAGACUGAGAUUUCUUCAUGUUUUCCCAGAAAAACAAGAGAAAUUACUAAAUUGGACUUAAGUGAAAUCAUUUCAUUGUCGACCCCUAGUGAUCACAGGUGGUGAGCUGUAGCCAGGAAAUUGGGUCGGAACGAAUGCUGGACGGGAGGGAAGCAAAAAGAAACGAAGAAGCAAAAUGCAGCAUUAGAAAUCAGGAAAACAAGUCUUUUGGCUGUUCAUCCAAAAUGGUUCACAGCAACUGUAGGGGAAACAAUCCAUCAUGUGCAGGUCAACUUUGAAAUUACAUUUAAAUGUAAGACUAUAAAACAACUCUGUAACAAUGUAAAAAGUGCCCCUGGUACAUUAUUGUCAAGUCGUUCCCAGACUUCAGGGAAUACUCAGACGCUCACUUUUUGUUGCGUUAUAGUUGAUUGUAACAAAAUGUUGUAGUAUAUUAUUUUAUGAUAUAAGAUGUGAUGACAGUCACUGUGGAGCGAGAAAUCUUAUCAGUAGGUAGUAUGAGCAACGUUGAGUAAGACAGGAGUGCUAUGGGGCAGCUUUUCAAACACUGGACUGUUUUUUUUUGCUUACUCUGCCAGGAUGGUUUUGCAGUCCGUGUUUUCACAAUCAGCCAGUGGAAGAGUUCUCUGGCAGUGCAUGUGUUUGCUGUGACUGUGUUACAACUCUCGCUGAAUAAGAAACAUGCGUCUUUUCCCGAGUUCUCGCCGUCUUGUGUAGAUCUGCACUGUUUGCCUCCCUUUGAUACAACUUAAGGGUAACUGGUAUUCAACAUGUUUCCUUUGGAAAUCUGGGUUUGGUGCCAGCUGUAGUUUUUUCAAGAAUAUUGGUCAAAUCAAGUUUUGGUAUCUGCGGUUUAUUUUAACACGUUAUCUAGGUAUUUUUCAUGCUUCAGUUUAGUUUUGUGUGGGUAAUAAAUGUACCAAUCUACAGCCAGGCAGUUGACGACAUUGAUGCUGAAAAGGAAAAACUGAGGCAUAUUUUAUAGUGAUGCAGCAUAACUACCCACGGAAACUUAUAUGCGUUGUAGACCUCCAGUGUAUUUUGGACAUGAGGAGAAAUAAAUAUGGAAUCCUCGACA
This is a long non-coding RNA of Micropterus dolomieu (smallmouth bass), 1263 nucleotides long. RefSeq lists it as uncharacterized. Lineage: Eukaryota; Metazoa; Chordata; Actinopteri; Centrarchiformes; Centrarchidae. The record is from RefSeq and is a predicted model, not a curated record. The transcript has 2 exons.